AACGAGGCCGACCUGCGGCUGAGUUACCUGCGGAGGGAUCAUUAAUAAAUGGAAGUGGGUUUCAUCUUUUGUCUCUCACUUCAAAAACAUGAUCUACAGUUCUCCUGGGGGAGGAAGGGGACCAUGUUCCCCCUCCCUAUAAGGAGGAUUUGUAGAGAUCCUCUGUGCAUUGUUUCUAUAGACUUCCCCAGAUGGACUUAAGGAUUCUCUGAGUCCACUGGGGACUCUUGUAAUCAAAUU
This 240-nucleotide unclassified non-coding RNA is filed under the name soil metagenome. Its description in RNAcentral is "partial contains 5.8S ribosomal RNA, internal transcribed spacer 2, and large subunit ribosomal RNA". The record is from RNAcentral.